RNAcentral lists this long non-coding RNA (225 nucleotides) under Homo sapiens (human). RNAcentral's name for it is "non-protein coding lnc-PTPN1-5:1". The record is from RNAcentral. Lineage: Eukaryota; Metazoa; Chordata; Mammalia; Primates; Hominidae.
AUGGCUUCUGGUGCUUUGACAAAACCUCCAAUGCAUAGCCUUCUGGUUAAGCGUCUGUGAUUUCAUAUUAUUGGAGCAUUCAUGGUAUCCCUGGUGGUUGCAGCUUUCUACAAGAUUGCUAUGGCCGAACCAAGAAAGAAGGCAUACGCAGAUUUCUACAGAAAUUAUGAUUCCAUAAAAGAUUUUGAGAUGAGGAAGGCUGGUAUCUUUCAGAGUACAAAGUGA